Spinacia oleracea (spinach) is the source of this 1137-nucleotide long non-coding RNA. RefSeq lists it as uncharacterized. The record is from RefSeq and is a predicted model, not a curated record. The transcript is spliced from 3 exons. Lineage: Eukaryota; Viridiplantae; Streptophyta; Magnoliopsida; Caryophyllales; Amaranthaceae.
AUGUCAUAAGCAACUCACCAAUAUGAGCUUACUCAUCAAUUGUAGACUACCCGAUUUCUUCUUCCCCUCAUGUAAUUUCCAUGGUAUUGAUUUAGAGGUUUUGCCAAAACCAUUAAAGUUUAGCUCAUCCCUUACGUUUCUCGUCACCUAUAAUCCCCUACAAAUACCCAAGUAUGCUGCCAUCAUUCUCCAUAUCAAGCAAGAACACACAUGUAAUUAGCUAUGAAAAUCCUCCAAAAUACCCUCUGUUUCUAUGCACCACCACCAUCGUAGCUGCCUCUACCUUCAUACUGCCACCAAAACACCACUCUAGUAAUUAACCUUCUCUCACCCCCUAACCACCAUGUAUGACUUCUAACCAAAAACAACAAGCUUGUAGCAUUUCGUUACCAAAACCGAAAACCGAAAUUAGUCCCUCUUUCUCCCUCCUCUGCGGUACGAACCACCGAACCACCACCACCUUCUGCCUCCACCGUCACCAACAUCACAAUCUACUCUCUAAGAACUAACGACCCAAAAGUAAUAAGUAUAAAUUGUAGUAUCUCGAAACCGCACCCGAACUCAUGAUCAUGAUGUACCCCUCCUCUAUCCUCGCUGCUGUCACGGUGCAGAACCACCACCUCACCGGAGGCACCUUGAUACCUCCGUGAAACUCCGACCACCCAACCUCGACGAGUACCACCUACUUCCACCCAUGUGCCGAUGCCACCUCACGCAAAUGCCACUUCACUGUUCUUCUCUGUUUCGUGUAGACAAAAGUUGAGUGUUUAAAUGUGUAAACCAAUUACCAACUAGAGUAAUAUUGUAUAGUACGUGGGUCACCAAAUUCCUAAGAUAAAGUCAACCUUCCUAUUAUCCUCUAAAUUUGGGAUAAUCGAUUUUUGGAGCUCAGGAAGAACGGUCCAUCGAACAUGAAGUAUAAACUACGGUUGAGGUACGAAGAAGAUCAUGGGAUGUCUUAGAGUGAGGAUGCAACCAUCAACUUCAAGAUCGCUGUUUAGUAAAGAUAAUUAUGUCUCACGAGUAAUAAUGGAUGUAUUAACUAAACUCUAAGGUUAUUUUCAAGUAUUGAGUUAGAUUCUAAUAUAAAUGUUUAAUCAAUGCUAGAAGUAUUUAUUAUUAAAGUUUAUGUAGUAA